Mercurialis annua (annual mercury) is the source of this 1326-nucleotide RNA transcript. It is a transcript of the gene named protein S40-7, with no coding region annotated. The transcript has 3 exons. The record is from RefSeq and is a predicted model, not a curated record. NCBI's taxonomy places the organism in Eukaryota, Viridiplantae, Streptophyta, Magnoliopsida, Malpighiales, Euphorbiaceae.
AUUCUUUCACUCUCUGUCUCUCUCCAAAAAAAGUAGUAGUAGCAUUCUUUUCCGUAAUAGCACAAAUUCCGGAAAAUCAUAAGAAGAACCACUACAGAAACCCACAACCCGACCCGUGCGUUUUGAUUAACCAAUGGAUAUUAACGGAUCUGCUCGUUUCCGUCACCGGAAAACGCCGUCAACUGAUAGAUUCUUAGGCGCAUAUCCCCGUACGUCGCAGGAGCCGUCAUCCGCUUCCGUCAACACAGCAAACGACAACUUCAUUGAAGAAAACGAGCUAAACGAAGACGAUAUAUUCUCCACCGGAGACUUCUCCGAAUCAUCGAAUAACCACCACCACAACCAAAAUCACUUCCACAACAGCCCUCCUUCCUCCACUGCAUCUCCGCGGCAGCAUCUCAAAACGGCGUUUUCACAGCAGGACUCGUUCGGAAUCUUAGCGGCGCUACCGGAACAUAAAAUCAACUCUCAUAGCCAUCUAUAUCAGAAAACAGCGAUUUCCUCCCCGUCUUCAUCGACGUCAUCGUCAUCAACGACCUCCUCGUCACGUUUUAUUCCUACAAUUCCGAAACCUCCGCAGGAACGGUUGCCGAUUUAUUCGUCGUCGUUUUCCGGUAAGUUUCAUACCCAUCCUCAGUCGGCGCCUGUGAAUGUGCCAAUGAUGGCGAUGGCGAUGAGGAGCAGGAAGCAUAAGGAGUUUGAUGAGAUAGAUGAGGACGAGGAGGAAGGUGACGGCGAGAUGCUUCCGCCGCACGAGAUGGUGGCUAGGCAACAGUCUCCGCUGGUAGCGUGUUCAGUGUUGGAAGGUGUUGGAAGGACGCUUAAAGGCAGGGAUCUUAGACAGGUAUGUAAUUGAGUCAUUGUCGAAGCACUUUCAAGCUCAAUUCUACUCUAAGUUCGAAACUCAACUCAAAUUCGACUUAUUCACAAAUCACGGCAGAAGAUUGGAGUAUGUUGAUGUCAUUGAAUACGCUGGAAGUCCCUAGGUAUGACUUCUGCUGUAACUAUUUCACAUAGUUAUUGAUUUCAAGUGGAAAACUAGCGAAAUUCAAAGAUAAUGUUUAAGAUGAGACAAGUUUGCAAAAAUUUGUUGAGAUGGGAAAAGAUUGAAACGCCCGUCUUAGGUGUAAAAAUAUAUACUGUAAAUCAUCAUGAUUCUUGACUAUUGAAUGUUUGCAUUUAGUCCUCAGAAGGUGUAUAGAAUGUUUGUUAAGAUAGGUAAUUUGAAGUCUUUGACUCGGUCUUUUGGCUCCUAUUGCUAUGUCGUUUAUUCACUGAAACUUUACCAACUGGUUGAGUACAUUAUGUUUCAGCGUUUCGAUGGUG